GGGUUGUGAGGUUAAGCGACUAAGCGUACACGGUGGAUGCCCUGGCAGUCAGAGGCGAUGAAGGGCGUACUAAUCUGCGAUAAGCGCCGGUAAGGUGAUAUGAACCGUUAUAACCGGCGAUACCCGAAUGGGGAAACCCAGUGUGAUUCGUCACACUAUCAUUAACUGAAUCCAUAGGUUAAUGAGGCGAACCGGGGGAACUGAAACAUCUAAGUACCCCGAGGAAAAGAAAUCAACCGAGAUUCCCCCAGUAGCGGCGAGCGAACGGGGAGGAGCCCAGAGCCUGAAUCAGCAUGUGUGUUAGUGGAAGCGUCUGGAAAGGCGCGCGAUACAGGGUGACAGCCCCGUACACAAAAGCGCAUGUGCUGUGAGCUCGAUGAGUAGGGCGGGACACGUGGUAUCCUGUCUGAAUAUGGGGGGACCAUCCUCCAAGGCUAAAUACUCCUGACUGACCGAUAGUGAACCAGUACCGUGAGGGAAAGGCGAAAAGAACCCCGGCGAGGGGAGUGAAAAAGAACCUGAAACCGUGUACGUACAAGCAGUGGGAGCACAGGUUUACCUGUGUGACUGCGUACCUUUUGUAUAAUGGGUCAGCGACUUAUAUUCUGUAGCAAGGUUAACCGAAUAGGGGAGCCGGAGGGAAACCGAGUCUUAAUUGGGCGUUAAGUUGCAGGGUAUAGACCCGAAACCCGGUGAUCUAGCCAUGGGCAGGUUGAAGGUUGGGUAACACUAACUGGAGGACCGAACCGACUAAUGUUGAAAAAUUAGCGGAUGACCUGUGGCUGGGGGUGAAAGGCCAAUCAAACCGGGAGAUAGCUGGUUCUCCCCGAAAGCUAUUUAGGUAGCGCCUCGUGAAUUCAUCUCCGGGGGUAGAGCACUGUUUCGGCUAGGGGGCCAUCCCGGCUUACCAACCCGAUGCAAACUGCGAAUACCGGAGAAUGUUAUCACGGGAGACACACGGCGGGUGCUAACGUCCGUCGUGAAGAGGGAAACAACCCAGACCGCCAGCUAAGGUCCCAAAGUCAUGGUUAAGUGGGAAACGAUGUGGGAAGGCCCAGACAGCCAGGAUGUUGGCUUAGAAGCAGCCAUCAUUUAAAGAAAGCGUAAUAGCUCACUGGUCGAGUCGGCCUGCGCGGAAGAUGUAACGGGGCUAAACCAUGCACCGAAGCUGCGGCAGCGACACUGUGUGUUGUUGGGUAGGGGAGCGUUCUGUAAGCCUGCGAAGGUGGCCUGUGAGGGUUGCUGGAGGUAUCAGAAGUGCGAAUGCUGACAUAAGUAACGAUAAAGCGGGUGAAAAGCCCGCUCGCCGGAAGACCAAGGGUUCCUGUCCAACGUUAAUCGGGGCAGGGUGAGUCGACCCCUAAGGCGAGGCCGAAAGGCGUAGUCGAUGGGAAACGGGUUAAUAUUCCCGUACUUGGUGUUACUGCGAAGGGGGGACGGAGAAGGCUAUGUUGGCCGGGCGACGGUUGUCCCGGUUUAAGCGUGUAGGUGUGUGUUCCAGGUAAAUCCGGUUCACUUUAACACUGAGGCGUGACGACGAGGCACUACGGUGCUGAAGCAACAAAUGCCCUGCUUCCAGGAAAAGCCUCUAAGCAUCAGGUAACAUCAAAUCGUACCCCAAACCGACACAGGUGGUCAGGUAGAGAAUACCAAGGCGCUUGAGAGAACUCGGGUGAAGGAACUAGGCAAAAUGGUGCCGUAACUUCGGGAGAAGGCACGCUGACACGUAGGUGAAGUGAUUUACUCAUGGAGCUGAAGUCAGUCGAAGAUACCAGCUGGCUGCAACUGUUUAUUAAAAACACAGCACUGUGCAAACACGAAAGUGGACGUAUACGGUGUGACGCCUGCCCGGUGCCGGAAGGUUAAUUGAUGGGGUCAGCGCAAGCGAAGCUCCUGAUCGAAGCCCCGGUAAACGGCGGCCGUAACUAUAACGGUCCUAAGGUAGCGAAAUUCCUUGUCGGGUAAGUUCCGACCUGCACGAAUGGCGUAAUGAUGGCCAGGCUGUCUCCACCCGAGACUCAGUGAAAUUGAACUCGCUGUGAAGAUGCAGUGUACCCGCGGCAAGACGGAAAGACCCCGUGAACCUUUACUAUAGCUUGACACUGAACAUUGAGCCUUGAUGUGUAGGAUAGGUGGGAGGCUUUGAAGUGUGGACGCCAGUCUGCAUGGAGCCGACCUUGAAAUACCACCCUUUAAUGUUUGAUGUUCUAACGUGGACCCGUUACCCGGGUUGCGGACAGUGUCUGGUGGGUAGUUUGACUGGGGCGGUCUCCUCCUAAAGAGUAACGGAGGAGCACGAAGGUUGGCUAAUCCUGGUCGGACAUCAGGAGGUUAGUGCAAUGGCAUAAGCCAGCUUGACUGCGAGCGUGACGGCGCGAGCAGGUGCGAAAGCAGGUCAUAGUGAUCCGGUGGUUCUGAAUGGAAGGGCCAUCGCUCAACGGAUAAAAGGUACUCCGGGGAUAACAGGCUGAUACCGCCCAAGAGUUCAUAUCGACGGCGGUGUUUGGCACCUCGAUGUCGGCUCAUCACAUCCUGGGGCUGAAGUAGGUCCCAAGGGUAUGGCUGUUCGCCAUUUAAAGUGGUACGCGAGCUGGGUUUAGAACGUCGUGAGACAGUUCGGUCCCUAUCUGCCGUGGGCGCUGGAGAACUGAGGGGGGCUGCUCCUAGUACGAGAGGACCGGAGUGGACGCAUCACUGGUGUUCGGGUUGUCAUGCCAAUGGCACUGCCCGGUAGCUAAAUGCGGAAGAGAUAAGUGCUGAAAGCAUCUAAGCACGAAACUUGCCCCGAGAUGAGUUCUCCCUGAGACUUAAAGUCUCCUGAAGGAACGUUGAAGACGACGACGUUGAUAGGCCGGGUGUGUAAGCGCAGCGAUGCGUUGAGCUAACCGGUACUAAUGAACCGUGAGGCUUAACCUUACAACGCCGAAG
RNAcentral lists this ribosomal RNA (2928 nucleotides) under Salmonella enterica subsp. enterica serovar Enteritidis. RNAcentral describes it as "bacterial LSU rRNA". It matches the Rfam family "Bacterial large subunit ribosomal RNA". The record is from RNAcentral. RNAcentral also lists the same sequence under 97 other names. Lineage: Bacteria; Pseudomonadati; Pseudomonadota; Gammaproteobacteria; Enterobacterales; Enterobacteriaceae.